RNAcentral lists this transfer RNA (72 nucleotides) under Ovis aries (sheep). It matches the Rfam family "tRNA". From Rfam's summary of the family: Transfer RNA (tRNA) molecules are approximately 80 nucleotides in length. Their secondary structure includes four short double-helical elements and three loops (D, anti-codon, and T loops). Further hydrogen bonds mediate the characteristic L-shaped molecular structure. tRNAs have two regions of fundamental functional importance: the anti-codon, which is responsible for specific mRNA codon recognition, and the 3' end, to which the tRNAs corresponding amino acid is attached (by aminoacyl-tRNA synthetases). tRNAs cope with the degeneracy of the genetic code in two manners: having more than one tRNA (with a specific anti-codon) for a particular amino acid; and 'wobble' base-pairing, i.e. permitting non-standard base-pairing at the 3rd anti-codon position. Lineage: Eukaryota; Metazoa; Chordata; Mammalia; Artiodactyla; Bovidae. The record is from Rfam by way of RNAcentral.
UCCCUGAUGGUCUAGUGGUUCAGACUCUGCACUUUCACUGCAGGGGAAUGGGUUUGAUCCCUGGUCUGGGAA